Molecule: long non-coding RNA, 1341 nt
Organism: Physcomitrium patens
Lineage: Eukaryota; Viridiplantae; Streptophyta; Bryopsida; Funariales; Funariaceae
Source: RefSeq, a predicted model, not a curated record
AUGCUUUAGAGUUUUCUAGAUUGUCUACAAUGCCAUGAUUUAACAAAUCCUUCUAAUUGGAUAACUCUUGUUGUUGCAACAAACUCUUCCAGGUACAACCUACAAGGCUUAUAUUGUUUAAAGAGCCUGUAUGCAAAGCUAACACAUUUACAUGUGUCUGUUGCAUUCAAUAAAGUAGUACAAACAUCACGCUAUCCGAUAUAAUUUUAUGUAAAGAACUCUAUAACAGACAGAAGACUGGGUGUGGAUGCGAAUUGUUGAUGCGGUGUUUUGUGUGGCGAGCAGCCAAUUUGGCCUUUGGGAUCCACGACAGCACAUUACAUUGCAGUAGUUGUGGCGUCGACACCCACGCCUCACUUCAAAGACCAAACCCGGUCGCCAGGUGUGACACCCCUGGCACAACGCUUGGAAGCUUGGAGCCCCUUGCAGAUCGUGCCAUGUGGCCUGCGUCAUAUACCGUUUCGCUUGUAGGGAGUGUUGGAUCAGCACACCCCGUCGUGAAGGAGUGGAAGAAUUUUUGCACCCAGCAUCGAGUAGUUUUAACUUGGUUGAUCGGCAUAUCGAAUUUGUGUAAACUGAUGAGUUGAAGGAGAAGAUCAGCACUGAUUUUGAGAAGGAGGGUUGGAAGAAGAGGAAGGAAAGCCGGGCAGAGAGUGAGUCGUUUGGUUUUGUGAACCGGAGAGAUUAGGACGUGUGGCGAGGUCGAAGUUUCAAACAGAAAUGGCAUCGAGCGGGGCUAACUCCAUGAAGGAAGACACCUUUAAACCUGUUCAAAAUUCUCAGGCCACAGUUGCUAGAAACGAAUCCCAUGACAAAGUGGAAGACGCCUCAACACCUGCGGAAGCGGUGAAAGCUCCGGGACUUGCGCAACGGGCCGUAGAGGAAGUGCAAGCCAUAGCUAGCGAAUUGUGGGUGGCGGUCACACCGUCUAAGAAGUGAAAAGGUCCUCGCUAGUGUUUAACGGAAAAUUGACUGCGAAGAGCUCCGAAGCAGACUUGCUACAACUCUAGUGUGUAAUAAGAUUACUGUGUAGCGGUAAGAUGUCAUUCUUGUCCUAGUUGCUUUAUCCUUAUUUAUAUCAGUUGAAUCUAAAGCUCCAUGAAAGACACAGAAGUGUUCCGAGCACGGGUGUUAAACACAACCAAAUCCGACGACUAAGUCCCUGCGGCAUUGCCUCGGAAGACAUGAAAUUUAAGCUCUGAGAAACCCUAAUUGCUUCCGAACGAUAGUUAGAUUAUUGUUCAUUAUGUAACCAUUUUCUUACUGUGGAAUUGCUUUUGAUCCGCAGUUAAAUAGACAUGAAAUCAGUAAUUUUCAUAAUGCAACAAAUUAGAUUUAGCA